Molecule: ribosomal RNA, 345 nt
Filed under: Escherichia coli
Lineage: Bacteria; Pseudomonadati; Pseudomonadota; Gammaproteobacteria; Enterobacterales; Enterobacteriaceae
Description: partial 23S ribosomal RNA
Rfam family: Bacterial large subunit ribosomal RNA
Source: RNAcentral
GGCACUACGGUGCUGAAGCAACAAAUGCCCUGCUUCCAGGAAAAGCCUCUAAGCAUCAGGUAACAUCAAAUCGUACCCCAAACCGACACAGGUGGUCAGGUAGAGAAUACCAAGGCGCUUGAGAGAACUCGGGUGAAGGAACUAGGCAAAAUGGUGCCGUAACUUCGGGAGAAGGCACGCUGAUAUGUAGGUGAAGUCCCUCGCGGAUGGAGCUGAAAUCAGUCGAAGAUACCAGCUGGCUGCAACUGUUUAUUAAAAACACAGCACUGUGCAAACACGAAAGUGGACGUAUACGGUGUGACGCCUGCCCGGUGCCGGAAGGUUAAUUGAUGGGGUUAGCCGCAA